Molecule: long non-coding RNA, 2777 nt
Organism: Choloepus didactylus (southern two-toed sloth)
Lineage: Eukaryota; Metazoa; Chordata; Mammalia; Pilosa; Megalonychidae
Exons: 4
Source: RefSeq, a predicted model, not a curated record
AGUAUAGCACAUGACAGAGGAAAGGUGAAACUGAAGGUGGAGAAGGAACAGUCUUCAGCCUCUGAGGAUAAUCAGACCAUAUUCCUUGAAAGGGACAAUGACAGAAUUACAGACACACUAGAUGUAUACACUUGGUUAAAGGCUGGAUGUAUCUUCCAGGCUUCCCUUCUACUAGUGUCCUUCUCUUCUUUUUUAUAGCUAAUCUGGUCUCCUGGGAACCAACCUCAGCUUAUACACCGGGUACACUUUGUUGGGCCUGCUGCUACUGCCAAAACUAAGGUUGGAAGAAGAGACUGAUGCUAUCCAGUAUCAAGAGUUAGCUGAAUUCUUAUAAAGAUGUCACAACCUCCAAGAAAUAUCAUAUUAAAAUUUACUGCGUAUGCUAUCCUCUUAGCAAGCCUAUGGACAUUGAAUUUGUUCAUUGGUUGGCAGUGGUGUACUGGUCAAAAAAAAAAAGGAAGGUGGUUGUACCCUGAUCAAGAUGGAGGAAUGAGAUGCUUCAGGCCUCUUCCACAACCAGCAAGAACAGAAAGAAACAUCUUUCUCAAUGCUCCAGAAAACUGCAGUAACAGGGUAGGAACUUUGUUAGCAAAAGCCUGGAGAGCCUCCCAUAGUGCAGAAUCAUGACUCCACGCCAAACUCUCCAAAAUCUGUUCUUCGAUGCUGUUCAGAUGUUUUACCAUGUCCCUGGAAAGUCCCUCCUCCGAACGGAUCACCACCUCAAUAACCUGGAGAGGAGAAGAUUGAGAAGACAAUGUGUCUCAAGCAGUGAGUUCUAGACUGGGCUUGUGUUGCUGGCUCUGGCCUUACUAUUUGACCGAGAACCCACGACAUCUUUGAAUGAUAAGUCUGGGGCUUAUUAAUAUCUUCUAAUUUAUAAAAGACCUUUUAAGGUCUUUAAAACAUUUUCACAUACAUUUCUGUUUUGCAUGUUUUAUUUCAUACAUGGAAAACUGAGGCAAUGAUAGUGUAAACUGUUCAAUGGCCCAACAGUGGUAAAAGCUGGGACUUGGGUUCCCAGGAAUUUUGAAUUUACUAUCCCUUCCCAGACUAUUCUUCCCAAUAUUUCUAAAGAAUAAAUGAAUAAAGUAUUGUAAAGGAACUCUGCUUAUGUACACUGUAAUUCCAGUUUCAUAAGGGAAAAAUAUCUAGAACAAAGUCUGGAAGUAUACAUACAAAAACAUUUAUAGCGAUUAUUUUGGAGUGGUACAAUUAUGGAUGAUUUUGAUAUUUACAUUUGUCUGUAUUUCCUAUUUUUCUUCAAUGAGCGUCUAUCAUUUUUGCAGUCAAAAAAAUAAAGCAUUUAGCUCCUUGAAUGAAAUAAGGAUGUUACAACUAAAAUUAAUUACUAUUAAGGUUGUGGGCAAAAAUUGAACUUUUUCCUGAUAACUAAUGGGAAAAUCUGAACACAAACAUCAACAUUAAAGUAAAUAUACAGAAUCAAUUUUCCCUAAGAAAUUAAAGUAUUUAAAUUACACUCAGUCAACAAUUCAAAUGGAUAAACUUUCUAAUGAUCUGUAUUUGUAAAACUUCAUCUCAGGAAUACUUCAGUUAUAAAAAUUUAACUCUUCAAACUAACUUUUCUGACAAUAGUUUGGGAAUAGCACACAUGACUACAUAUUAACUAAAUCAUGCCAAUAAGCAUAACAUUAUCAUCAGUCUUAAAUUUGGACAGUAUGCAACAUUAAAUGUUAUUGGCUAUGAUGGUAGCUCAGCAGUUAUGAUUUCCAUGUGUUAUUAGAAAAAGGUUAAUAAAAAACAGUGCUACGAGAAAAAAAGGAAGGUAAACAAUAUUCAUAUAAACUGAAUUAACUCAAAUUUGAGGAAGGAGUUUAAAUAGUUAUUAGAGCUUCAUUAGCUAGUCCAUCAUCACAAUCAAUUUUAGACCUGUCUUUCUUUGCAAGAAAGCCUUUUUUGUCCUUCCUUAUGCAUCCAUUUAAUAGGGUUAUGACUUUCAUCCAUAAGUAUGGAAUAUUCGAAGAUAAGUUGUUAGGUCCAGACCAUAUUUGCAAGUGACUGAUGGAAAAGAACUGAAGCUGCAAGAUUGGCUUAAAUUUACUGAUCCCUCAUCCUUUCCCUUUUUCUCUUUGAUUCCACCCAAAAGGAGUAUCUAUUUUCAGAACUCCUCUGGAAAUAUUUUCCAGACAUCAUUACAAUGUUUUUCUUUGGCACUAAGAUAAAUACAAUGUUUAUGUAAGGCAUAUCAUAACAGAACUUUGCUUUUAUCUCACCUUAUAAAAAUAAAAUGGUUGCAAAUUGAGAACUUCAACAAUCCAGGGAAAAGUACGAGGUGAGCUAUAGGCAAAGAGCACAAUUUCCAAACAGCAGGCCAUCAAGGAACGAUGAAAUAUAUCCUGCUCUAAAAGAACCUUGGGGCAGAAAAAGGCUACUGUUUAAUAUUUCUUAGAACUUUCAGCCUCUGCCUAUAAAGAAGACUAUAUAAACAAUAUAAAAUAACUUCUGUAAAUUAUAUAGUAUUAGAUUACCACAGAUAAAAUCAGAGUUCUCAAACUAGUAAAGAAUUUUCUUAUAAUAUCUAAUUUUUCUCAGUAGUAGAUCUUAAAUUUAAAUGAGGCAUAUACACAACAAUUUGCUUUGAAACUUGAAAAAAAUAAUAGUCGAUAUUUCCACCAAGAGAAAAAGCAUUAAAAUUGGUUUCUUUAACAAAUUAAAGUUUCAGUUGCUGAGAGAUUUCAAAUGAAGUCAAGAGGUCAUUCUGAAGGUUAUUCUCAUGCAUUAUAUAGAUAUUCCUUUUUAGUUUUUACUGUAUUAGAACA